GUGAGGAAUAUUGCGCAAUGGAGGCAACUCUGACGCAGCCAUGCCGCGUGCAGGAAGAAGGCGCUACGCGUUGUAAACUGCUUUUAACCGGGAAGAAACCCCAGGACGUGUCCUGGGUUGACGGUACCGGAGGAAUAAGCACCGGCUAACUUCGUGCCAGCAGCCGCGGUAAUACGAAGGGUGCAAGCGUUAUCCGGAUUCAUUGGGCUUAACGGGUGCGUAGGCAGAGCGUUAAUUCAGUGGUGAAAUCCUGCAGCUUAACUGUAGACUUGCCAUUGAUACUGGCGCUCUUGAGUGCGCUUGAAGUGGACGGAAUGUGCCGUGUAGCGGUGAAAUGCUUAGAUAUGGCACAGAACACCAAUUGCGAAGGCAGCUCACUAAGGCGAUACUGACGCUGAGGCACGAAAGCGUGGGGAUCGAACAGGAUUAGAAACCCGGGUAGUCC
This 445-nucleotide ribosomal RNA is filed under the name uncultured bacterium. Its description in RNAcentral is "partial 16S ribosomal RNA". It matches the Rfam family "Bacterial small subunit ribosomal RNA", at positions 354 to 796 of the family's 1533-position model. The record is from RNAcentral.